This 1010-nucleotide ribosomal RNA is filed under the name Rana jiemuxiensis. Its description in RNAcentral is "partial large subunit ribosomal RNA". It matches the Rfam family "Bacterial large subunit ribosomal RNA", at positions 955 to 2607 of the family's 2925-position model. Lineage: Eukaryota; Metazoa; Chordata; Amphibia; Anura; Ranidae. The record is from RNAcentral.
UUAACUGAACAAGACCCCAAACUUAAGAGCUAUUCAAAUAAGGCACAGCUUAUUUGAAAUAGGACACAACCUACAACAUAGGGUAACCAAGAGUAACUUAAAUAAAGUGGGCCUAAAAGCAGCCAUCUUUAAAAAAGCGUUAAAGCUUAACUAUCCCUCACUCACAAUACCUAAAGCCCUCACUAACCCCUCAUCACUAUUGAACAAUUUUAUAUUCAUAUAAAAGCUAUUAUGCUAGAACUAGUAACAAGAAAUUGCCUUUCUCCUAAAUGUAAGUAUACACCAAAAUAAACUCUGUUGGCUAUUAACGUAAAUGCUAAACUAUAGUAACAUCCACUAGAAAACCCUAUAACUCCCAACGUUAACCUUACACCAGCACAUUCCAGGAAAGAUUAAAAGAAAAAGAAGGAACUCGGCAAAUCAUAGCCUCGCCUGUUUACCAAAAACAUCGCCUCUUGCAAAACAUAAGAGGUCCAGCCUGCCCAGUGACAAAGUUCAACGGCCGCGGUACCCUAACCGUGCGAAGGUAGCAUAAUCACUUGUUCUUUAAAUGAGGACUCGUAUCAACGGCACUACGAGGGCUAUACUGUCUCCUUUUUCCAAUCAGUGAAACUGAUCUCCCCGUGAAGAAGCGGGGAUCAAAAUAUAAGACGAGAAGACCCCAUGGAGCUUUAAACUCCCUGUACACUUCUGUGUUCCUACAUCAUUAAACAUAAGAAAUCUGCACACUAGUUUUAGGUUGGGGGGACCACGGAGUACAAUUUAACCUCCGUAACAAAUGGGCUAACUACCCUUAUCCACGAGACACACCUCUAAGAAUUAUUAAACUAAUGCUUAUGACCCGAUAUUCGAUCAAUGAACCAAGUUACCCUGGGGAUAACAGCGCAAUCUACUUCAAGAGCCCAUAUCGACAAGUAGGUUUACGACCUCGAUGUUGGAUCAGGGUAUCCCGGUGGUGCAGCCGCUACCAAUGGUUCGUUUGUUCAACGAUUAAAACCCUACGUGAUCUG